This is an RNA transcript of Hordeum vulgare subsp. vulgare (domesticated barley), 5803 nucleotides long. RefSeq lists it as uncharacterized. The transcript has 5 exons. The record is from RefSeq and is a predicted model, not a curated record. NCBI's taxonomy places the organism in Eukaryota, Viridiplantae, Streptophyta, Magnoliopsida, Poales, Poaceae.
CCACAGCCUCCCUUCCCUUCCCUUCCUUCGCCUCUCUCUCUCUUUCUCUCGCCCCUCUUUCCUCCCCCCUCUCUCUCCCGCCCGCCUCCACCACCGCCUCCGCCGCGCGGACCUCCUCCGGCCCGCCCCCGCCCCGCCCCCGCAGAUCAGGCCCCGCCCGUCCAGCCCGCCCGCCCGCACGCCGGGCCUCCCUGCACGCCGGGCCUCCGCUGCGGUUCGCAUCUCCCCACCGGCGGCCGGCCCUCGACGGACGGCCUCCUCCCCCUCCCCGCUCCCGUAGCCUCCCCGUGGCGCUCCUUCUCCGGGGACCGACGCCCUGUGACUCCCGGGACCCGCUGACCGCCGCCUCGGCAGGAGAUUGUUGCUCCUGGAUAGGAGGCCAGCGACGCAGCGCACUCGGCACGGCCGCGCGCAUGUGAUUUGCGGCGCCCGCCGGAGCUGGGGAGACGCGCCGCUGGGACGACGACCGCAACGACGCCGUGGAUGCCUCCGCCUCCGCCGGAUCGGAGGGAGUUCCUAUACAGGGACGGCCGCAGGCACGACGCGGCCGCCGGGGAACCCCUCCUGCCGGCGCCCCCCGCCACGCCGCGCUGGAGGGACUCCCCGUACCACCCGCCGCCGCCGCCGCCGCCCCUGCGCGACCACGCCCGGCACUCGCCGCGCAGGACCGCGUCCUCGGCCUCCUCAGAGGGCUAUUACAGGCAGGGCACCGGCGCCGGCGCCUAUGACCGCUCCUACCCCGACGAGCCGAUAGGCUACACGCCCUCCCGCUCCGACCGCUACUGGCUGGAGGAUGACCCUCCCGCCGGCUAUAAGGGCUUCAGCCGCUACGGCGGCGGCGGCGGCCGGAGGGACGGCCGUGACUUGCGGGGAUCCUACCGGAGGUCACCGUUUAGGAGCUACGGAGGUGACUUCCCGAGAGGCCACCAGGAGCCUCCGCCGCCCCCACCGUUGAGGAGGUCUCCUCUGAGGUCAGUCGCUGUGCCGAUCUGUUACGACCCUCCCAGUGAUAGGGCUGACAGGGAGGAUAAAGAACACCAACCCCGGGCAACCCCUUGGCGGCCGCUGCGCCGGAGGGAGAGCAGAUCUGAUGCUGCAGAUGCAGCUGGUGCUGGGCCUCUGUCAGUUCGCCAGAGCGCUGCAGCAGGUUCUGCUUCAGAGAAGAACGCCCCAGCGCAGUCUGAUGCUGCGGCAGAUUCACAGACGGCUGAGGAGGAGGCGCCCAGGAAGAAGCCCCGGCUUGGAUGGGGGCAAGGCUUGGCCAAAUAUGAGAAGCAGAAGGUGCCUGGUUCCGCAGAUUCUUCAGAACCUGUUGCUGAAGGGAGCCAAGACGGCGUUGAACAGAAGGAACCUGAAUCAGCACCUGCGCUUUGUGCAUCUCCAGUGGCCGCACCGGCAGCAGCAUCAUCUGCACCUCCGCUUUGUGCAUCUCCAGUGGCCGCACCAGCAGCACCAUCAUCUGCACCUGCGCUUUGUGCAUCUCCAGUGGCCGCACCGGCAGCACCAUCAUCUGCACCUGCGCUUUGUGCAUCUCCAGUGGCCGCACCGGCAGCACCAUCAUCUGCACCUGCGCUUUGUGCAUCUCCAGUGGCCGCACCGGCAGCACCAUCAUCUGCACCUGCGCUUUGUGCAUCUCCAGUGGACGCACCGGCAGCACCAUCAUCUGCGCCUGCACUCUGUGCAUCUCCAGUGGUGGCACCAGCAGCGCCAUUAUCUACACCAGCACUUUGUGCAUCUCCAGUGCUGGCACCGGCAGCGCCAUCAUCUGCGCCUCCAUCUAGUUCUCCUGUGCCUGAAGAUAAAUCCUGUGAACUGACGGCAAAUACAGUCACAGUGUCCAAUAAAGAUAUCCCUGGGGCGGAGGUCCAGGCUUACAACGAUGAAAUCCCCAUUAAGUUAGGUCAACUUGAUGGUGAUCGCAUUGGCUCCCUUGCCAAUGUCCUUGCUGAACUACUGCAACAUGAAGAUUCUUGUUCUGGGGAUUCGAGAAGACUGACCAAUAGUAGUAAGUUGUUGCUACUGAAAGAAAACAUAGCCAGGGAGCUUGAAAAGACUGAGCUUGAGAUUGAUUCAUUGGAAUGUGAACUUAAAUCAGUGAGUAAUGAAUCCGGAAACAAGGCUCUUGAAGAUGCAGAAAAUCCUUCACCUUCUAGCGGGACAUCAAAAGUUCUAGCCAAGCCUGAGAUCUGUGGAACAUCAUCUUCCCCUAAAGAACAAGGGGUGCUCUCUCCUUGCAAGCUUUCUGUGGAGCAGGAAGCUGAUGCCAAUGGUGUAGACUUGAUGGAUGUUGUUACAGCUCCUGUUCACAGUGUAACAGCAGUCUCAUCGGCAGAGAGUGUAGCAUGUCCUGGAGUUGUUGCUGAAGCUGAAGUUGCUGUAGCUGCAGAUGUGGCCCCAUUGAAGCCUUCUGAAGGAACUGGGUCUCAAAUUGAUGCCCACUGUCCGAGGCAGGAGCCUAGUUCGUCCCAUGAUAAUGUUAGUUCCAUGAAAGCAGAUGGCAGCAAUGACCUAUUAGCCCGGCAGUGCUCGCACCGUAAUUUAAUUCCUUCAAUUAUUGCUGUGAACAAUGAUAUAGCCAAAGAAUUUAAUGAACUGGUUUUCAAACCUUUGCCUGCUGGUCAACCAUGUCUUGGUUUAUCUAGCCAAAUGAAGAAUGACCUGAUUGUCAGAAAGAAGCUUGGCUUACAUAAAAAUAGACUAAGAUUCAAAGAGCAAGCACUUACCUUCAAGUUCAAGGUGCUGCGACACCUGUGGAAAGAGGAUGUGCGGCUCCUCUCUGUAAGAAAGCAGCGCCCGAAGUCUAAUAAACGCACUGAUCAGAGCAACCGUGCAUCACAGAGUGGAUCUCAGAGGCAACGCUCGUCUAAUCGCUCUCGAUUGGGCAUGCCUGCUGGUAAUCUGAGUACGUUUUCCUACCACGGAAAUAUCAGAUGUUGCAAACAAGAUGUUUACAGAAUUUCAGUUUCAAGCGCUGCAGAAAUUACUUGAAAAUGCCAGCAUUAAUUAUAGAUGAAAAAGAGAAAGAAAGUGCUAGCUUUGUCAGCAAGAAUGGUUUGAUUGAGGAUCCUGUUUCAGUUGAGAAGGAACGAUCAGUGAUAAAUCCAUGGACUCAUGAAGAGAAGGAAGUUUUUAUGCAGAUGCUUGCUUCAUUUGGCAAGAAUUUCUCCAAAAUCUCCAAUUUUCUACAGCACAAGACAACAGCUGAUUGUGUUGAGUUCUACUACAAGCACCAUAAAUCUGACAGUUUCCGAGAAGUUAAGAAACUUCUGGAUCUUCGGCAGCAACAACCCACCAGCAAUUACCUAGGAUCAAAUUCUGGAAAGAAGUGGAUCCUGAGAAUGCUGCAUCUCUUGAUAUGCUUGGAAAUGCUGCAUCCGUCGUGGCUGCCCAUGGUCUUGAUUAUGCAAACAGGGUGGAGAAAGAUACUGCAAAGUCUAUUAUUCGGACUUCUUGUAGGUCUGAUGUUUCGGCUGUGGCCAAAGGAUCUUUGGAUAGGGAUGGCAUUGCUAAUGUAUCUCUGCACGAGAGGGAAUCUGUAGCUGCUGAUGUCUUGGCAGGUAUAUGUGGAACUCUCUCCCCUGAAGGAAUGGGCUCAUGCAUUACCAGUUCUGCUGAUCAUGGCCAAAAGAUAGGUGCCACAAGAAUGGACUAUCUUAUGACAACUCCAGAGGCGGACAAGAGCUUUGAUGAGGAAGACACUCUCUCAGAUCAGGAAUGUGAAGUUGACUCAGUUGAUUGGAACGACAAUGAGAAGUCACUGUUCAUCGAGGCUCUGAAUAACCAUGGGAAGGAUUUUGCUCGAAUUUCUUCAUAUGUGAAAAGCAAGUCAUAUGAGCAGUGCAAGGUAUUUUUCAGCAAGGCUCGCAUUUCACUUGGUUUGGAUUUGAUCUAUCAGCGGACUACCGAUGUUGGUUUGCCGACAGGUGAUGCAAAUGGAGGUACGAGUGAUACUGACGAGGCAUGUGCUGCUGAGAUGGAUUCUCCUAUUUGUAGCACAGAGUCUCCUGUGGAGAUGGAGAUGGAAGCUUGUCCUUCUGCUGAUAAAACCCUUCAGGGGCAUCCUCUAUCUGGUAUCACCUUUAAACAGUCAGAAACUGAUAGAUCAGAUGGGCCAGAUAUUGUGGACCUAACAUUUGAGGAAGGUGAGAUCAAGGCAGAGGAUACUAAAAAUUGUAACAUUCCUGUUGAUCAUAGACAGUCAAUUGAAGCCACUCAUCAAUCAACACCUUCAUGUGCUCCUAUCGAUAUCAAUUCUUCUGAGAGCACAGGGAGUAUGGAGAACAGAGAGCACAGCAACCAAGUGAGUGUGCACGGCAACAGAGCCAUGGCAUCUUCAACUGAGCAGCCUGUGGGAGCACAUCUGGAAAUCAGCUCCAGUCUGCACAAUGUUGAAGUUAUUGAGCCGAGCAAGGCGUCUGAAAAGAUUUGCACUCAGGUAUCCAGCAGGGAACAUGCUCCCGAGAGUAGUGCACCUAUCAGCGCUGGAAAUUUAACCACCCCUUGUUUCUUACCUGGAGUCAUCCAGUCGAGCAAGGUGUAUGAAGGGAUUUGCACUAAGGAAUCCAGUACGGAAGGACCUACGCAACAAGCACCCUUGAGUGCACACAUGAAGGCUGGAAAUUUGACCCUCUCUGUUUGCUUACCUGGAGAACACUCUAGUAAGGCAUCCAGUAUUGAAGGACCUUCAAAACAUGCACCUGAGAGUGCACACGUGAAAGCUGGAAAUUCAACUCCCUCUGUUUGCUUACCUGGAGAAAGUGGCAGCAAGGACAAUGUCGCCCAAUUCUCGGACAUGGCCGGUGUUUCCUGUAUUAGGCCUGCAUUUACUUCAAGUUAUCAGCAAACUGUGCCAACAGAUCUGCUCCCAGCAAAGCCAAAACCACAGGUUACCCCUCUUACUCCAAAGGAUUUGAUGCCUGUUCAGUUUAGUUCUGACCUUCCUGAUCCUACCUCAAUUCGUUUUGAGGGCAUAGCCUCCAUAACUUCACCAAAUUUUGGUGAUCAUGCCAACAGAGUCAGCAAUACUCCAGGGCCCAAGGACAUGAACAAGUUCCCAGUAUUUAAUGAACAAUCUCGGAGCCAGCAUGAUGUUCUGUUCCGCAAUAUUGAUGGAUACCUGCAGCACAGACGUCAUCUUGCAGUUGACAUGCCCGCUUUUUCUGAUAGCACUGUAAGUGGUAGUGUGGGAACUUCUCAUCCGGAUCAGUUCACAAUAACCAAAUACCAGAAUGGCAGGUCGGGCAGCUCAGGUCUCUCAAGUACAUCUGCUGGGUUUCUGAUGAAUGGGAGCAGCAAAGAAUUACGGGAAGGUCAGUUGAAGCCCUGUUCCCACAAAGCAAGCACUGAGAGUUCUGAUCAGGUGAAGCGCCCCGGAGAUGUCAAGCUAUUUGGGAAAAUUCUGAGCCAUCAAUCAUCCUUGCAAAGUUCUGGCUCAUCAUCGAAUGUAACCAGAAGCAAGCCUCCCGCGUCAACGGCAGCAGGAUUGUUGGGCAGUGGAAUGGAUCGCAUGGUUUAUUCAUCUAGGCUCACAAACACCGCCCACUUGGGGCAGGACGAGCGAGAGUGGUGAGGAGCUACACUCACCUGGAUGGGAGCACAGUACAGCCCGAGUCGUCUUUGUUCAGGGCGGCGAAAUGUCAGAGAUCAUCACUGUCCAGCGUGCCAUUUUACCUCGGCUAAAAAUGGCACACUGGGCGUAUUUGGAGAGUACCAACAGCCUUUGCGGCAGCAGCUGCCAUCAGAUCCGAAGCGGCUGGAAAGCUAUGCCGAUCUCCAGAAGAGGAUUAUGGCACUCGGGCCCUAG